GAUCUACUCAACCCCAAAUGGUUUCCUUUGGUUUAUAUCAUGAUUUAAAGUGCUACUUAAAUUUAUUUUUCUAAAUUGCCACAUAAAUAAAAUCUGGAAUUCAUUCAGAUUUACUAAAAUAUUGUCAAUUUAAACGCAAGGAGAAUUAUUAUAAUUUUUUUUAAUGUUUUCCUUCUUGAUGCUCAGGUAGAUAUGUAAAAGACAUACCUGAAUUCAACUGAAGAAAUGAACUGAUAUCGGGUGCUGGAUUCAUCCCAAAGGCAUUGUAUCAGUGCCCAAGAGCCAAACUUCAGACCCAAAAAAUGAUAUAGAAUUAUCACAAAAUUUCUCGUACCAUCGUUAUUUUCUCCUUUUUUGCCGAAACGCUGUAAAUUAAUUUUAAAAAAAUGAAUAUAGCAACCAGAAGAGAAUCAAAAGUAGGCAUUCAGAAUGAGUAGGAGAUUAGAUAUUCCUGUCAUGAAUUAAUCGGAAUAAAUUCAGUUUAUCGUCAUUACGCCGGCUGCAUCUACGUUUAAACCAAAAUCAUAAAAAGAAUUAAGAAAUUUAAAAUAACUAUAGUAAUUAAGAGAAAUAAUUUAAAUGGAAAAACUUUAUCGACACAAAUAUGAAGAAACCAUCAGAGAAAUUGGAUUAUAACUGCAUCAAUGGCGACAAGAAAUCUUGUCUCAGACGACCGUCGUGAGAUUUUAAAUCCUAAUUCAUCAUUUGGCUUCGAACAUUUAAACAAAAAUUGGAAAACAAAAAGCGAUUAAAUUUUUUUUUGCCCAUUCCUAAAUUUGGGUUCAAACGUUCAGUUAUCGAAAACUGGAAAAG
RNAcentral lists this long non-coding RNA (813 nucleotides) under Olea europaea subsp. europaea. The record is from RNAcentral. Lineage: Eukaryota; Viridiplantae; Streptophyta; Magnoliopsida; Lamiales; Oleaceae.